CUUCCUUUCGUGUUUUGAUAUCUUGUUGUUUUGCUACUCUCACUUCGGAGUUCGGAUGGUGUCUAGCAACGUUGGGUACCUCGUUUCUUGUGUGUGUGAGCGAGUGGUUGCUGUUUACGAUGUGUUCAUAUAUCGCUUUGUAGUGCUGUAAUGUGCAAAUUAGCGGACUUUAUAGCGGCUCUCUAUUUUCCGUCGUUGUCUUUCGAGCGGCGCCUGUUGUUCCGGUAAAAAUCGAGUUGAAUGAAUCGCCACAGCCCCAACGUAUAUCGCGCAGUGUUGACCAAGACCAAGUCAAGCAGGAAUUCUGGCAUGGUAUGUGGCUGCACGAAGGAUUCCGGAAAAGAAAAACAACAACAUGGCUAAUAGGAUGUUGCUGCCCAGGGAGUCCUGGCGAAGAGGUUUACUCAUUCCAGAAGCAAGAAUUGUAUCAUUGUAAGGCGAAUGGAAAUAAACUGACAUCGACUGAGA
Molecule: long non-coding RNA, 468 nt
Organism: Ornithodoros turicata
Lineage: Eukaryota; Metazoa; Arthropoda; Arachnida; Ixodida; Argasidae
Exons: 3
Source: RefSeq, a predicted model, not a curated record